RNAcentral lists this ribosomal RNA (252 nucleotides) under uncultured bacterium. Its description in RNAcentral is "partial 16S ribosomal RNA". It matches the Rfam family "Bacterial small subunit ribosomal RNA", at positions 524 to 776 of the family's 1533-position model. The record is from RNAcentral.
UACGUAGGGGGCUAGCGUUGUCCGGAAUCAUUGGGCGUAAAGGGUUCGCAGGCGGAAAUUCAAGUCCGAUGUAAAAGGCGAAAGCUCAACUUUCGUAAGCAUCGGAAACUGUCAAGCUUGAGUGAAGGAGAGGCAAGUGGAAUUCCUAGUGUAGCGGUGGAAUGCGUAGAUAUUAGGAGGAAUACCGGUGGCGAAGGCGACUUGCUGGACUGCAACUGACGCUGAGGAACGAAAGCGUGGGUAGCAAACAGG